AUGGCUGUCGUCAGCUCGUGUCGUGAGAUGUUGGGUUAAGUCCCGCAACGAGCGCAACCCUUGUCAUUAGUUGCCAUCAUUUGGUUGGGCACUCUAAUGAGACUGCCGGUGGACAAACCGGAGGAAGGUGGGGAUGACGUCAAGUCCUCAUGGCCCUUAUGGGUAGAGCUUCACACGUCAUACAAUGGUCGGUACAGAGGGUUGCCAACCCGCGAGGGGGAGCUAAUCCCACAAAGCCGAUCGUAGUCCGGAUCGCAGUCUGCAACUCGACUGCGUGAAGUCGGAAUCGCUAGUAAUCGUGGAUCAGCAUGUCACGGUGAAUACGUUCCCGGGUCUU
Molecule: ribosomal RNA, 337 nt
Filed under: uncultured Rhodocyclaceae bacterium
Lineage: Bacteria; Pseudomonadati; Pseudomonadota; Betaproteobacteria; Rhodocyclales; Rhodocyclaceae
Description: bacterial SSU rRNA
Rfam family: Bacterial small subunit ribosomal RNA
Source: RNAcentral